Molecule: ribosomal RNA, 483 nt
Filed under: uncultured bacterium
Lineage: Bacteria
Description: partial 16S ribosomal RNA
Rfam family: Bacterial small subunit ribosomal RNA
Source: RNAcentral
AUUGAACGCUGGCGGCAUGCUUUACACAUGCAAGUCGAACGGCAGCGCGGGCUUCGGCCUGGCGGCGAGUGGCGAACGGGUGAGUAAUGCAUCGGAACGUGCCCAGUAGUGGGGGAUAGCCCGGCGAAAGCCGGAUUAAUACCGCAUACGACCUGAGGGUGAAAGCGGGGGACCGAAAGGCCUCGCGCUAUUGGAGCGGCCGAUGUCGGAUUAGCUAGUUGGUGGGGUAAAGGCUUACCAAGGCGACGAUCCGUAGCUGGUCUGAGAGGACGACCAGCCACACUGGGACUGAGACACGGCCCAGACUCCUACGGGAGGCAGCAGUGGGGAAUUUUGGACAAUGGGGGCAACCCUGAUCCAGCCAUGCCGCGUGCGGGAAGAAGGCCUUCGGGUUGUAAACCGCUUUUGUUCGGGAAGAAAUCCUCUGGGCUAAUACCCCGGGGGGAUGACGGGACCGGAAGAAUAAGCACCGGCGAACUACGU